AAAAAAAUUUUUUUUUAAAUUUCUAUUACCCCAACCCCCACCCAAUUUAUUUGCUUUGUUUACAGUUGAUAAGACAAGCUGUCACACACAAAAUGACAGCUUCUAAAUCCUGUUUCCUGAUUGGGUGAAAAAUGAUCAAA
Octopus sinensis (East Asian common octopus) is the source of this 140-nucleotide long non-coding RNA. RefSeq lists it as uncharacterized. The transcript is spliced from 3 exons. The record is from RefSeq and is a predicted model, not a curated record. NCBI's taxonomy places the organism in Eukaryota, Metazoa, Mollusca, Cephalopoda, Octopoda, Octopodidae.